Molecule: long non-coding RNA, 1883 nt
Organism: Gambusia affinis (western mosquitofish)
Lineage: Eukaryota; Metazoa; Chordata; Actinopteri; Cyprinodontiformes; Poeciliidae
Exons: 6
Source: RefSeq, a predicted model, not a curated record
UUCAGCGUGAGGGUUUUUUGAAAAAAGAGCGGCUAGCACUUCGCUGUGCGGAGACACGGAACAGUCGGUCUGAUAUUCAUGAAUUUUGUAAUCGUGUCAGUGUUCGUCGAGGCCUGGUUUGGCGUCUUGUACUUGAAACACCUGAGGAGCUAUAAUGGCGUCUGGAGCUAGCAGCUGAUCGAUUAUGGACAACAAGGCCUCCUUUACCUACGAAUAGGCUGUUGUGAUGACAAGUAGGCCGCUGGAGGGCCAAGUUUGAAAUCGCUGCGUUGGUUAUUCGAGCAGCACACAAGGAGUGACCCGACCGUGACCUCUCAGCGGCGGUUUGUUUGGUUGUUUGGCGUCCCUGAAACACCUGAGGAGCUAUAAUGGCGUCUGGAGCUAGCAGCUGAUCGAUUAUGGACAACAAGGCCUCCUUUACCUACGAAUAGGCUGCUGUGAUGGCAAGUAGGCCGCGGGAGCGCCAUGUUGGAAAUCGCUGCGAUGGUUAUUUGAGCAGCACACAAGGAGAGACCCGACCAUGGAUGUACUACAAUCAAGCUGAGGAUUCCCUUCAAUCAAGUUGAGGAUCGCUUCCAUCAAGUUGAGGAAUCGCUACAAGGUGCCUGGAGGACACUGCCCAACCAAUCAACGGUUGGUUAAGUCAAAGAACUGUUCCAAUGGCGGCUCCAGAAGACGUCUCAGGGUAGGAGCUGUUGCGGGUUUUGCUGUGCCAUGUUGCUGAUGCUAUUGUUUGUUGACUGCCAACAAACAAUAGCAUCAGCAGAGAGUCAAUGAGCUGAGUAGGAUUCUGCUGUUUUAAAUCCUUCUGUCUUUGGGUUUUAGUGUUUGAAUCAGUUGCUGUGGUCUUGUGACCUGUGGCAAAUACAUUUUAGAGGCUGUAGGAAGGGAUUCAGCUUAGGCUUUGUAAAUAUCACUAUGAUCAACCUUGAUAACAUACCUUCUUAUUAGUACUAAAAUAGUGUGGCUAUGUUCACAGUAGUAUAGCUGCAUUAGGAUGAUUAUUAUGAGUUUAUGGUAUUAAAAGCGAGUACAACGAAUGGGUCGCUCUAUUCCAUGCACGAUGUUCCACUCAUGAAAACACGGUUGGGUAUGUGAAAUGUAGAACUUCUGAUCUCUGUAACAAAAGGUGGUGUGUUCGGUGUUUGUUUUCACAUACAGUUCGGUAAGGUUUGUGUGAAAACGGACCCGACGACGGGUAAAGGUGUAAAAACUAAUGCAGUGACUACAAAAACCCCAGCGACUGAUGGAGAAAAGUCCUCAAGUGACCCACCCACUACCCGACUGCUCCCGAUGGAAAAGGCCUUCAUUGCCCCCACCGCUGACGGAUGACCUCAGUGACCCUGCCAUCGGGUUCAGCAGUUUUCCUCAAAAAAUGUUGCAGAUUUUGCCCUUCAUCGCCAGACAGAAGAAAUAGCCGAACUUGAAACACUUAUCAAAACAUCAGUUUAUCUUUUUCCUUUUCUUUCUACCAAAAACUGGAUCAUUCUUCAAUCUGUCGGUCGUGUCAGAUGGCUGCUGGUGCUGAGCCCGGUUCUGGUUCUGUUGAAGAUUUCUUCCUGGUAGAGUGGAGUUCUGCUGCACUGCCGCUACAUGCAUGCUCUGUAUUGGGGACUGCUGCAACGUCAACGACUCAACACAAGCGAUUUGCUGUCGCCCCCUGCUGAUCAUGGAGAGUGAACGCUGUUAGUAACGACUCCGUACAAUUUGCUGGGUUUAGUUUGGUACAAACUUUUUAAACUACUUUAAUAAUCAGCUGAUCUUAUGGAAUACACGUGAUUUAACUAAAAUUACUUCAAGGUGCAUUGAGAUGACAUUUGUUGUGAAUUGGCAAUAUAUAAAAUUGAACUAUAAAACUAAAAAAUUAGUCCCUACAAUAAACA